CAGAGAAUAGUUUAAUAUAAAAUGUUAAUUUUGGGGAUUAGUGAUGGGGGAUAACUCUUUCUCUGA
This 66-nucleotide transfer RNA is filed under the name Gryllotalpa orientalis (oriental mole cricket). Its description in RNAcentral is "tRNA-Pro". The record is from RNAcentral. Lineage: Eukaryota; Metazoa; Arthropoda; Insecta; Orthoptera; Gryllotalpidae.